RNAcentral lists this ribosomal RNA (253 nucleotides) under uncultured bacterium. RNAcentral describes it as "partial 16S ribosomal RNA". It matches the Rfam family "Bacterial small subunit ribosomal RNA", at positions 524 to 776 of the family's 1533-position model. The record is from RNAcentral.
UACAGAGGGGGCAAGCGUUAUUCGGAAUUAUUGGGCGUAAAGGGCGCGUAGGCGGCCUGGCAAGUGGAAGGUGAAAUCCCUCGGCUUAACCGAGGAACUGCCCUCCAAACUGCUUGGCUUGAGUUCGGGAGAGGUGAGUGGAAUUCCCAGUGUAGCGGUGAAAUGCGUAGAUAUUGGGAGGAACACCAGUGGCGAAGGCGGCUCACUGGACCGGAACUGACGCUGAUGCGCGAAAGCGUGGGGAGCAAACGGG